UUUCUAUGGAGUAAUACAUAGAUAUAUAUAAGCUGAGUGAAUAUUAAUAGACAGCUUUUGGCUUGUAUCUUGGUUCUAUCUAGUUUUCAGAGAUUGUUUUAGUUUGUUUACAAACUUGACAAUUUCUGAAAAGAAAUCGUUCUUUGAAAACUGAAUAUUAGAUGAAUUAGACAAUUUUAUUUUUCUUACGUUUCAAUAUAAACGUAAUAGUAACUUAAAAAGUUUUACUAAGAAAACUAAAAUUUCAAUUUUAUAUAGAUUAUCUAUAUUUGCAAUA
This 277-nucleotide unclassified non-coding RNA is filed under the name Spiroplasma sp. GSU5353. Its description in RNAcentral is "partial 16S-23S ribosomal RNA intergenic spacer". Lineage: Bacteria; Bacillati; Mycoplasmatota; Mollicutes; Entomoplasmatales; Spiroplasmataceae. The record is from RNAcentral. RNAcentral also lists the same sequence under 6 other names.